CGCACAGUGGAUCCUCGGCAUAUAAGUCUACGCCAAUCCUUGAUC
RNAcentral lists this unclassified non-coding RNA (45 nucleotides) under Mammarenavirus piritalense. RNAcentral's name for it is "5' non-coding region (NCR)". Lineage: Riboviria; Orthornavirae; Negarnaviricota; Bunyaviricetes; Hareavirales; Arenaviridae. The record is from RNAcentral.